Molecule: RNA transcript, 3732 nt
Organism: Myxocyprinus asiaticus (Chinese sucker)
Lineage: Eukaryota; Metazoa; Chordata; Actinopteri; Cypriniformes; Catostomidae
Gene name: E3 ubiquitin-protein ligase RNF220-like
Exons: 16
Source: RefSeq, a predicted model, not a curated record
UCGGAUCUUGAAACAUCACACGCAUCUGCAUAAUUUUCAGCGGUGGCACGCGCUAAACAACACAAAUCCUUAAACCUACACGACCUAAACCUCAUCUGCAAACUCUUUUGACUGACUACGUCUGAAUUCGUGCUUGGAUAAAAAGCAGUUUGAUAUUAAUAACGAUGUUUGUUUACGACAGUUUUAUUUCUAUCAGAGAAUGACUGGUCUCUAAACCUUAAGUCUAUAAGCAUUUGGUCCAGUGCCGUUCAGACUUCUUCACGACAUUACACAGAGUUUGGGUGGACACUACAUUGCUCAAAUGGACCUUCAUCGGACUGCUUUUAAGAUGGAGAACUCCUCCUACAUGCCUAACCCGCUGACCUCCCCUGCUCUCAUGGUCCUGGCCUCAACAGCUGAGGCUGGACGCGAUGCCUCUGUACCUUGUCAGCCUCCACGGCCAUUUGGAGUGCCAGUCACUCUGGAAAAAGACACGCAUCUCUCAUUCCCCAGUGGUUCUUACACUUUUGCCUCCAUGUACCAUCGCCAAGGAGGUUUCCCUACACGAGACUUUCCCACCCCACUUCUCCACCUUCACCCACAGUUUGCUCCACCCAAUCUUGACUGCUCUCCACUGGGUAUGCUCAACCAUGGAGGGGUGGGGGCCUUCCGGCCGUUCUCCUCCCCACCAGAGGAGCGUGAUGGUGGGGGAUACCAGUCUGCCUUCUUCCCUGCCAAGCGCUUGAAGGGAUGUCUGGAACCAGAGGCAGCACCCCACCUCCGCUACACAGAUGUGGAGGGGAAAGAAUUUGACUUUGGGGGCGCUUAUGUCCCUACUGGUUCUCCAAGUGCCCUGAAGGUAGCUGAGGAUGUUGGGAAGAAGCUCUUUGGCUUGCCUGGGCUGUUGGCAGAUGCACAGACUUCAUCUGGCCCAGAGGAGCACAAAGAAACAUGUAAAGUAAAGGGCCUGUACGACACUCAGACUCCAGUGUGUCCAAUCUGUCAGACUGUGCUGCGGCCAGGAGAGCUGCAAGAACACAUGGAACAGGAAAUGGAGCGACUUGUGCAGAUGCACCACAGUCUGGGUCCAGCUCAAAAGGAGUGUCUUGCCGCUGGGCCGCCUAAGUCUCUGUUCUCGAUCCACAUAAAGAGAGAGGGGUCUUCCUCUGCUUCCUCUCCACAUCCUGCUGAUGAGGCUGUGCACUCCGACAGGUACCAGACAUUUUUGCGAGUGCGAACAAACAGGCAAACAAGACUCAGUGUUAAGGAGGUCUGCUGGUGCAGGUGCUACGCCAAACAGAAGGUGAAUGCUAUUCAUGACUAUGGAUUCCCACAUGUAUCUUCCUGCCUAUUGUCUGUACGCAUUGGGAAAUUGAAAAGACGGAAAGCGGAGGAGGACCAGAGAGAUGGCAUGUGUGUUGCUGAAGAUGGCUCUGUGCUGUCAGCCGGCAGUGAGUUUGAAUGGGCUGAACAGAGAAGAAUACAGAUGGUUUCUGUUCUCAGAGGUUUCCGAGGUUUGGUGAGCAGUACAUUCAAAGAGCACCAUGACAGCGAUGCGGAUCUGGAUGUGGAUGGUGAUGAUACUUUGGAGUAUGGAAAAGCCCAAUACACAGAGGCGGAUGUGAUUCCCUGUUCGGGAAAUGAACCCAGAGAUGCAGAGGAGAGACAGGCGCAGAGAGGAGCUGUUUUAAAUGAGGACACAGCCAGAAGAUUUUCUCCAGAGCGAACCAAGUUGGCAAACUCAGGUGAGCCUUGGAUGGUCUUAGAAACUCCAACUACAAGUAAUGGAGAGUUUGACAACAACACAAGCACAACAUCUCCAAGAACCUGCAAUAACAGCGAGUUUGAAAUAGUAUGGGAUGACCCCUCCCUCAGCACGCUGGAGGCCCUAAAAACACGGAUCAGAGAUUUGGAGAAGCAGCUCACGCGAGGGGACAGAUUCAAGUGUCUCAUCUGCAUGGAUUCCUACACAGUACCUCUCACCUCCAUCCAGUGCUGGCAUGUCCACUGUGAAGAAUGCUGGCUUCGCACUCUGGUGAGAUGAACGUAUCAUAAAUCUGUAUACAUACAGUAACAAAGGAUUUUCAGCAAAUGUGAACCACAGGAGCGAAGAAACUGUGUCCACAGUGCAACACCAUCACCUCACCUGGGGACCUGAGACGAGUGUAUUUGUGAUUAUAGCUGGCCUGUCGUCUGCCUGUUUACACUCCACACAAACUGAUCAAUUUUACUGAGCAGAACCCUUCCUGGGCCAAUGCAAAGCUUAGAGGACUUCUUGCCCUACAGAGGAAUGAAUGCUGACAUUAAAUAUGUUCCUGUUGGAAUGCAACCCAGUUAGGUGAAGACCACUGUGUGUCCAGUUUUCAUUUCUUGAUGAAAUGGUAAAGUUUUAGGGUAUACAUUUUCACAAAUAUCAUGCUGUAACAUUAUUGCAAGGAUGGUAAAACUGAUCACAAAAUGGUGUUUCUAUGUAUAGAAUAUUUUGAUCUUGAAUAAAAUAUUGUUUUUAACUUAUUCUCCUAGAGAAAGAUCUAAAGCAAUCUGUCCAGUAGUUUUGUGAAUGUUUACAGCAAACACUGAAGAGUUUUUUUUUUUUUCUUUUCUAAAUUGUAUCUAGUGGUGUUGAUAUCUGAAAUGGUAAAAAGUUAGCCUUUUAAUCAUUCAUAAACUGAUUAUUGAAUCUUGUACAUUUAUUUUUCAUACUGUAAUUUAAUAGUUUCCUCCUUAAGAACUAUCACUUAAUGGGAUCUUUUAAAUAUGGUUUAAGAUAACUUCUCUUAUGAUACUUUUGAGGUGAUGUACUAUGUGUAAUAUUGUGUAACUGUUUAUCUUAUGCAUUUAAAAAAAAAAAAAAAAAAAAAGGCAAUUUUUUUGUCUCAUGAUCCCAUUUCAUGUCACUCUUAUCCCAAGCAUGCUUACAAUUACAGAGACAGGAGACUGCUGAUCGCUCUGCGCUCAGUAUGCGUGAUGGAAAUUUCAGCAUAAUCCAGUCCGCGCAGCUUGACCACGUGCCGGCCAGAUUUUCUAGAAUUGCAAACGCGGUCAUCAGAGAUCUUAUAGUACUGAGAUAACAACCUUCGCGGUUCUGUCAUUGGAGAGAGCGUAAGGGCUGUAAAGGUCAAGUAGCAUUUUAGGAGAGUUUACUGAUGCUAUACAAAUGAAUGGAGAGAGCCGUAAACUGACACCUUCCGGUUGUAAAAUCGUCUGUGACUUCUGUUAUAAAACAGCAAUUUUAUCAUAGUAAACUCCACACAUAGUUCACUCCAAAAGGAUUGUUUAGUGUAAACAUAUUGAAGAUUAGCGGACAGGCGGUUAAUUCAUUAAAUGAUGAGCCGUUUCCUCACAAAAGCAGUUUAUUCAGCGUUGUGAAGCAUCUCCUCUAUAGACGUCCAAUUAAAAAAACGGCCUCUUGUCUCCUCGCCAGUGUACCACCAUAGCAUAUAUAUGGAACGGCCGCGUUGCGCUAAUGUAUGCUUCCUAUCAGAAGGACUUUGGAAAAGUAUACUCAGAAAGGCAGCGCGAGGCGAUCCGGAACAUACAAAAAACGAAGUGUACCUGGGCCUUAACUCAACUAAAAGAGUAUCAAAGAAGUUGUAGUAGGCAUGCGUCAUAUGCGUUCAUAGUCGCUCGUGGUCAGAAUAGUAUACUCACAAAGGUAAUGUGGUGGACCAGUCUCAAUCUGAUCCGGAACACGCAAAAACGAAGUAUACCUGGGCCUUAAAGGAAUAGUUCACCCAAAAAUGAAAAUUUGCU